Molecule: ribosomal RNA, 849 nt
Filed under: Triticum aestivum (bread wheat)
Lineage: Eukaryota; Viridiplantae; Streptophyta; Magnoliopsida; Poales; Poaceae
Description: partial small subunit ribosomal RNA
Source: RNAcentral
AUGGACGGGUAUUCUCUCACUGAAUCACACUACACAGUUCUACAGAAUUCUGCCUUGGUGGCUCCGUAUAUGGAGGAACACAAGAAUUUUCUACACUCCAAACACCCGAAGAAGUCUGACGACUGGAUUACACGUGAACAAACGAGGACUUUCACCGGUUGGUUGCAGAAACGUGCCAUGCAUGAUGGCGAUAUUGAAGAUGACCUGUACUCGUUGUCCCAGUUACCAUCUUCGAAUAUAAUAACUUUCAAAGGGUACCAGAUAAAUGGGAAUACAUUUUACACGAUCGCCCAAGAUAAGAAGAGCACCAACCAAAACAGUGAUGUCUGCUUUGAUGCAACAACCAACACGGGAAAUGAAACAUAUUAUGGUUACAUAGAGGACAUAUGGGAACUUAACUAUGGAGGUGGUUUGAAGGUCCCUUUGUUUCGGUGCAAAUGGAUCAAUAUGACACGAGGCGGGGUAACGGAAGACCCGCAGUACGGAAUGACAACAGUGGAUCUCAACAAUCUUGUGUAUGUGGACGAACCAUUCGUCCUAGCCAAUGAUGUGGCGCAGGUUUUUUAUGUGAAAGACAUGUCUACCAGGCCGAGAAAAAGAAAAGAUAAGGAAGCGAAUGGAUCAUACGACGAGCCAAAGCGCCACAUAGUUCUUUCAGGGAAAAGAAACAUCAUGGGAGUGGAUGACAAGACAGACAUAUCAGAAGAUUAUGAAAAGUUUAACGAAAUUGCUCCAUUCACAGUGAAUAUUGACACGAGCAUCCAGUUAAAUGAUGAAGAUUUUCCAUGGCUACGGCGCAAAGGGACACACGCGAAGAAAAAGUUUCACACCCAAAGAUCUGGGAUGUGA